Molecule: ribosomal RNA, 253 nt
Filed under: uncultured bacterium
Lineage: Bacteria
Description: partial 16S ribosomal RNA
Rfam family: Bacterial small subunit ribosomal RNA
Source: RNAcentral
UACGAAGGGUGCAAACGUUGCUCGGAAUUAUUGGGCGUAAAGCGCACGUAGGCGGCAUUGCAAGUCGGAUGUGAAAUCCCUCGGCUUAACCAAGGAAGUGCAUCCGAAACUGCAGUGCUUGAGUACUUAAGAGGAUCGCGGAAUUCCCGGUGUAGAGGUGAAAUGCGUAGAUAUCAGGAGGAACGCCGGAGGCGAAAGCGAGUGACUGGCGCGUUCCUGACGCUGAGGUGCGAAAGCUAGGGGAGCAAACAGG